Etheostoma cragini (Arkansas darter) is the source of this 122-nucleotide long non-coding RNA. RefSeq lists it as uncharacterized. NCBI's taxonomy places the organism in Eukaryota, Metazoa, Chordata, Actinopteri, Perciformes, Percidae. The record is from RefSeq and is a predicted model, not a curated record. The transcript has 3 exons.
UCCUCACCGUCUUCCAGUCCCACCUCAAGACCCAUCUCUUCACCUAAGCCUAUCCAUAGCCACAGGCCCCGCUCCCUUUUCAUCUGUGUCUGAAUCUUGUUUUGUUCUUCUUGUUUUGUUUG